Molecule: ribosomal RNA, 253 nt
Filed under: uncultured bacterium
Lineage: Bacteria
Description: partial 16S ribosomal RNA
Rfam family: Bacterial small subunit ribosomal RNA
Source: RNAcentral
UACGUAGGGCGCGAGCGUUGUCCGGAAUUAUUGGGCGUAAAGAGCUCGUAGGCGGCUGGUUGCGUCUGCUGUGAAAUCCCGGGGCUUAACCCCGGGCGUGCAGUGGAUACGGGCCGGCUGGAGGCAGGCAGGGGAGAAUGGAAUUCCCGGUGUAGCGGUGAAAUGCGCAGAUAUCGGGAGGAACACCAAUGGCGAAGGCAGCUUGCUGGGACGGUACUGACGCUGAGACGCGAAAGCGUGGGGAGCAAACAGG